ACGGGUGAGUAACACGUGGGUAACCUGCCUCAUAGAGGGGAAUAGCCUUUCGAAAGGAAGAUUAAUACCGCAUAAGAUUGUAGUAUCGCAUGAUACAGCAAUUAAAGGAGUAAUCCGCUAUGAGAUGGACCCGCGUCGCAUUAGCUAGUUGGUGAGGUAACGGCUCACCAAGGCGACGAUGCGUAGCCGACCUGAGAGGGUGAUCGGCCACAUUGGGACUGAGACACGGCCCAGACUCCUACGGGAGGCAGCAGUGGGGAAUAUUGCACAAUGGGGGAAACCCUGAUGCAGCAACGCCGCGUGAGUGAUGACGGUCUUCGGAUUGUAAAGCUCUGUCUUCAGGGACGAUAAUGACGGUACCUGAGGAGGAAGCCACGGCUAACUACGUGCCAGCAGCCGCGGUAAUACGUAGGUGGCAAGCGUUGUCCGGAUUUACUGGGCGUAAAGGGAGCGUAGGUGGAUAUUUAAGUGGGAUGUGAAAUACUCGGGCUUAACCUGGGUGCUGCAUUCCAAACUGAAUAUCUAGAGUGCAGGAGAGGAAAGUAGAAUUCCUAGU
Molecule: ribosomal RNA, 556 nt
Filed under: uncultured bacterium
Lineage: Bacteria
Description: bacterial SSU rRNA
Rfam family: Bacterial small subunit ribosomal RNA
Source: RNAcentral